This 212-nucleotide long non-coding RNA is filed under the name Lathyrus oleraceus (garden pea). Its description in RNAcentral is "Pisum sativum (pea) long non-coding RNA (PSAT_LNC012417)". Lineage: Eukaryota; Viridiplantae; Streptophyta; Magnoliopsida; Fabales; Fabaceae. The record is from RNAcentral.
GAGACCUUUGUUCCAGUAGUUAGCCGAACUACGGUUUGCUCUGACUCUCAUUCCAGAUGAGAUACGUAGGCAUAAGACGCGAUGUCUUAGCGAGCACACUCCUCUUUAACCCAUAGGUAGCCGAGCUACGAAGACUCUGAUUCUCAUAUUCAGAUGAGAUAUGUAUACAGUGGAUGCGACAUCCGUGUGAGUCAUUUUCUUUUGACCCCUCU